RNAcentral lists this ribosomal RNA (400 nucleotides) under uncultured bacterium. RNAcentral describes it as "bacterial SSU rRNA". It matches the Rfam family "Bacterial small subunit ribosomal RNA", at positions 356 to 773 of the family's 1533-position model. The record is from RNAcentral.
AGGGAAUCUUCCGCAAUGGACGAAAGCCUGAUGCAGCAACGCCGCGUGAGUGAUGAAGGCCUUCGGGUUGUAAAGCUCUGUCUUCUGGGACGAUAAUGACGGUACCAGAGGAGGAAGCCACGGCUAACUACGUGCCAGCAGCCGCGGUAAUACGUAGGUGGCAAGCGUUGUCCGGAUUUACUGGGCGUAAAGGAUGCAUAGGCGGAUACUUAAGUCAGAUGUGAAAAUCCCGGGCUUAACUUGGGAACUGCAUUUGAAACUGGGUAUCUAGAGUGCGGGAGAGGAAAGUGGAAUUCCUAGUGUAGCGGUGAAAUGCGUAGAGAUUAGGAAGAACACCAGUGGCGAAGGCGACUUUCUGGACCGUAACUGACGCUGAGGCAUGAAAGCGUGGGGAGCAAAC